RNAcentral lists this transfer RNA (72 nucleotides) under Rhipicephalus microplus (southern cattle tick). RNAcentral describes it as "tRNA-Tyr". It matches the Rfam family "tRNA". Rfam says of the family: Transfer RNA (tRNA) molecules are approximately 80 nucleotides in length. Their secondary structure includes four short double-helical elements and three loops (D, anti-codon, and T loops). Further hydrogen bonds mediate the characteristic L-shaped molecular structure. tRNAs have two regions of fundamental functional importance: the anti-codon, which is responsible for specific mRNA codon recognition, and the 3' end, to which the tRNAs corresponding amino acid is attached (by aminoacyl-tRNA synthetases). tRNAs cope with the degeneracy of the genetic code in two manners: having more than one tRNA (with a specific anti-codon) for a particular amino acid; and 'wobble' base-pairing, i.e. permitting non-standard base-pairing at the 3rd anti-codon position. The record is from RNAcentral. Lineage: Eukaryota; Metazoa; Arthropoda; Arachnida; Ixodida; Ixodidae.
CCGUCGAUAGCUCAGUGGUAGAGCGGUGGACUGUAGAUCCAUAGGUCGCUCGUUCAAAUCCGGCUCGACGGA